Chenopodium quinoa (quinoa) is the source of this 937-nucleotide long non-coding RNA. RefSeq lists it as uncharacterized. The record is from RefSeq and is a predicted model, not a curated record. The transcript has 2 exons. NCBI's taxonomy places the organism in Eukaryota, Viridiplantae, Streptophyta, Magnoliopsida, Caryophyllales, Amaranthaceae.
AAAGUGUUGUGCUUAUCCUUCCACCGCCAAACUCUUAUCUUUCCAGCGUCAACCUACCUUUCCAUACCUCGCUGGCGGCUGAUUGUCUUGCCUGUUUUUUUUUGUCGUCGAUGGCGAACCCUCCUUUCCCCUCCAUCUAAUUGUUAUUAUUUUAAGUUAUUAAUUCACAGUAAGUGGCAUUAUAGGUUUGGUCAACCUAUCUAGUGUUGUGGGUGGUGGCAUUCACUACAGCUAGCGUUGUAUAGGUUUAUUGCUUUUGGGUAUGUUUGUUGUUGUUGGGUAAAUUUGAUUUUUGUGUUCAGUAAGGGGAACAACCACUCGAAUUGUUCACUCAAGCUGAGAGAAGGUGCCGAAGCCUAUCCUUGCAAUUAUCAAGGUUGUGUACAAGCAACCGUUCUCCAUAAUGGUGAAAAAUCCAGGGAAGUAGAGACCUCUAUUCCUUCGAUUCCUCCUUUCUUUGUGGCUCGAAGCACCAUGCGAUUUCCUCUCAAAAGGUCUUGUGUGCUUCUUCUCGGUCAUCCACAGUUGAUGCAGCUGCAAAUCGGGUUUCAAAAGAGUUGGUCAAGGUCUUGUUAGUUCAAGUAAGUCUUCCAACAAGAGCUGCUUCUCAAGGGUUUAUAGGCAAUAUUCAAAACUCAAGGCUUAAGCUUUCGUCUCGCGUGUAUUGUAAAUGGACUAUUACUAAUUCUCACCUUUGGGAAUCAGGUAAGUAUGUUGUGACAGGGUUUUUUCAAGUUAUUACAAGAGGGAUCGUGUGGGCACAAAGCGACAUCAAGCUUCAUCUCUUGAUCUAGAGUCCAACAAGUUUGCUUGUGAGAAGCAUGCUUGCAUGGUCCUUCUUGGGGUUUUGUUAAUUAAUGUAGUGAAUUGUCGUGUGUGUGGUGUAAUGUUAUCUCCCAAAGACUCAAUUAUAUCCCACAACUCAUCCUUCUCAUUA